AUGUUCGAGCUUAGAUGGUUGACAAUUCGGCGUAUUUUGGGGUGUUACAAGUCUACCCCCCUUAAAAGAGGUUUCGUCCCCGAAACCUGAGCACAUAACCAAUUUAAAUACUGACAUACCGAAGAGAAAAGGAUAGUGUUUCCUCAUUUCGUCUUCUGCUUCCCACGUAAGAUCCGAACCUUUCCGGUGCCGCCAUUGCACCAACACCUGUUUAACAGCUUUGUUGCGGAGAUUCUUCACUUUGAAGUCUUUAAUGGCUAUGGGUCUUUCAACAUAGUUUAACCCCUCGUCCAACUCAAUGUCAUCGAGAGGUACUAAUGUUGUGUCAUCCGCAAGACAUUUCCUCAAUUGCGACACGUGGAAGGUAUUGUGAAUCCCCUCUAGAGCAGGCGGUAAUUCUAAUCGAUACGCAACCCUUCCAACCCGAGCUAAGAUUUUAAACGGUCCGAUGUAACGGGGACCUAACUUACCCCGUUUGCGAAAACGGAUUAUACCCUUCCAUGGGGACACUUUUAGCAAGACAAAAUCUCCGACUUGGAAUUCAAUAGGACGCCUUCUCUUGUCUGCAUAAGCUUUUUGCCGAUCUUGGGCUGCUUUCAACUUUGUUCUAACCAUUUCAAUCUUUUCAUUCGUUACUGCUAUUAAAUCACUUGGUGCAAGCUCUCUUUGUCCUACUUCGCCCCAACAUACGGGAGUCCUACAUUUUCUCCCGUAUAGUAGUUCGUAAGGUGCCAUUUGAAUACCACUAUGGUAACUGUUAUUAUAAGAAAAUUCGACCAGUGGCAAUUGGUCGUCCCAACUUCCCCCAAAAUCUAAGGCACACACCCUCAGCAUAUCAACAAGUGUUUGAAUGGUUCUUUCUGACUGGCCGUCAGUUUGAGGGUGGUAGGCGAUACUUAUGUGCAAUUUCGUACCCACACUCUCAUGAAACUUUUGCCAGUAACGAGAAGUAAAUCUAGUGUCCCGAUCCGAGACAAUCGACACGGGCACUCCGUGUCGGGAUAUGAUCUCGUUCAUAUAAAUUUCUGCCAUCUUCUCGGAAGAGUAAGCUUCUUUGAUGGGUAGAAAGUGAGCGCUUUUUGUAAGUCGGUCUACGAUUACCCAUAUUGUAUCGUGCCCUUUCUUUGUUUUAGGAAGCUUGGUUAUCAAAUCCAUCGUUAGUUCUUCCCACUUCCAUACCGGUAUCUCCAAGGGUUGUAAUUUCCCGUACGGCUUUUGAUGUUCUGCUUUCACUUGGGAGCAUGUUAAACAUUUCGCGACGUAUUUAACUAUGUCACGCUUCAUGCCCGGCCACCAAUAAUUGGCUUUCAAGUCCCGAUACAUCUUUGUAGCCCCAGGAUGGACCGAAUAUCGAGACUUAUGUGCCUCGUCGAGCAAAGCAGCCUUGACUUCACAGAAUCGUGGGAUCCAGAUUCGGCCGAACCGCGUCUUAAGUCCGGUCGAAUUCUCUUCUAGAUUAUCGAUCACACCUUUUAAUCGUUCUUUCUUCAGGUCUUCCGCUCCGAGCGACUUUAUU
This 1516-nucleotide long non-coding RNA is filed under the name Helianthus annuus (common sunflower). Lineage: Eukaryota; Viridiplantae; Streptophyta; Magnoliopsida; Asterales; Asteraceae. The record is from RNAcentral.